CUUCGGUUGAUCCCGCCGGACCCGACUGCUAUCAGAGUGAGAUUAAGCCAUGCGAGUUAACGUAGCAAUACGUGGCGCACGGCUCAGUAACACGUAGUCAACCUAACCUAUGGACGUGGAUAACCUCGGGAAACUGAGAAUAAACCGCGAUAGAUCAUUAUGCCUGGAAUGGCUUAUGGUUCAAACAAUUUAUUGCCGUAGGAUGGGACUGCGGCCUAUCAGCUUGUUGGUGAGGUAAUGGCCCACCAAGGCUAUAACAGGUACGGGCUCUGAGAGGAGAAGCCCGGAGAUGGGUACUGAGACACGGACCCAGGCCCUAUGGGGCGCAGCAGGCGAGAAACCUUAGCAAUGUGCGAAAGCACGACUAGGUUAAUCCGAGUGAUUUCUGUUGAAGAAAUCUUUUGUCAGUCGUAAAACCACAGACGAAUAAGGGGUGGGCAAGUCUGGUGUCAGCCGCCGCGGUAAUACCAGCACCUCGAGUGGUCAGGAGGUUUAUUGGGCCUAAAGCAUCCGUAGCCGGCUACGCAAGUCUCCGGUUAAAUCCAGCUGCUCAACAGAUGGGCUGCCGGAGAUACUACAUAGCUAGGGAGCGGGAGAGGUAGACGGUAUUCUGUGGGUAGGGGUAAAAUCCACUGAUCCAUAGAGGACCACCAGUGGCGAAGGCGGUCUACCAGAACGCGUUCGACGGUGAGGGAUGAAAGCUGGGGGAGCAAACCGGAUUAGAUACCCGGGUAGUCCCAGCUGUAAACGAUGCAAACUCGGUGAUGCAUUGGCUUAUGGCCAAUGCAGUGCCGCAGGGAAGCCGUUAAGUUUGCCGCCUGGGAAGUACGGACGCAAGUCUGAAACUUAACGCAUCAAGGGGGGGAGCA
Molecule: ribosomal RNA, 869 nt
Filed under: uncultured archaeon
Lineage: Archaea
Description: bacterial SSU rRNA
Rfam family: Archaeal small subunit ribosomal RNA
Source: RNAcentral